GUGAGGAAUUUUCCGCAAUGGGCGAAAGCCUGACGGAGCAAUGCCGCGUGAAGGAUGAAGGCCUAUGGGUUGUAAACUUCUUUUCUCAGAAAAGAAUUAUGACGGUAUCUGAGGAAUAAGCAUCGGCUAACUCUGUGCCAGCAGCCGCGGUAAGACAGAGGAUGCAAGCGUUAUCCGGAAUGAUUGGGCGUAAAGCGUCUGUAGGUUGUUUAAAAAGUAUUCUGUCAAAGAUUAGGGCUUAACCCUAGAUAGGCAGAAUAAACUUUUAAGCUAGAGUUUGGUAGAAGCAGAGGGAAUUCCCGGUGGAGCGGUGAAAUGCGUAGAUAUCGGGAGGAACACCAAAGGCGAAGGCACUCUGCUGGGCCAAUACUAACACUGAGAGACGAAAGCGAGGGGAGCAAAUGGGAUUAGAUACCCUUGUAGUCC
This 426-nucleotide ribosomal RNA is filed under the name uncultured bacterium. RNAcentral describes it as "partial 16S ribosomal RNA". It matches the Rfam family "Bacterial small subunit ribosomal RNA", at positions 354 to 796 of the family's 1533-position model. The record is from RNAcentral.